UCAAUGGGCAUGAGUUUGAGCAAAUUCCAGGUGAUAGAGAAGGAUAGGGAGGCCUGGCAUGCUUCAGUCCAUGGGGUCACAAAGAGUCGAACAUGGCUGAGCGAACGAACUGAACUGAUUGAAUGGGAACCUAAAAGAGACACACCCAUUUGAUAUGAAUCAAGUAUCUAGGAAUCAGACUUUUGCCUAAGUGGGAUAUAUGCCAAAUGUUCAACCAUGUUUUGCUUUGUAAAGUUUUUUUUUUUUUCAUAAAAAUUGUUUAAUACAAGUAAGCUUCUAAAACCUUUUGAAAUGAUACAUAUUAUGGGCUGCAUAUUUGUACUCUCAGACUUCAUAUGUUCUAGCCCUACCCCCAACAUCAUGGUACAGUAAGCCCCCUACAUACAAACGAGUUCUGUUCUGAGAGUGUGUUCAAAGUCCAAUUUGUUUGUUAAAUCCAACAAAGUUAGCCUAGGUACCCACCCAACUAACACAGUUGGCUAUAUAGUACUGUACUAUAAUAGGUUUAUAAUACUUUUCACACAAAUCAUACAUAAAAAAACAAAAAAUAAAGCAUUUUUGAUUUUACAGUAUAAUACCUUGAAAAGUACGGUAGUACAGCGCAACAGCUGGCAUACAGGAGCUGGCAUUGAGUGAACAGGCAAGGACAGUUACUGGCUGGAGGAAGGAGAGGAGGUGGGAGAUAGUAGAGCCCAAGGAGUGUCAGCAGUAGGAGACCCAGGGCAAACUGCAGUUCCAUUCAAUCCUGAUGUUGAUCGCACAGGUUCUGGUUCCUUGCUGGAUUCAAUUCUGUCUACCCUCUUGAAGAGGAGGCUGAGUACUUACUAAAGAAGAGCUGAACACAGAACACAUUUCCCAUCUACUCCAGAGAAUUUUGAUACUCUGUCUUACAGAUAUUAUAUGGAGAAAGAAAUGGCAACCCACUCCAGUAUUCUUGCCUGGAGAAUCCCAUGGACAGAGGAACCUUGCGGGCUGCAGUCCAUGCGGUCACAAGAGUCGGACACGGCUGAGUGACUUUGACUUGACUACAGAUAUUAGAAAGCAAGAACUAACUUUGCUGGCAAGUUGUUUCCAACAGUGUAAAUAUGCCUCCACAGGGGUAAAGAAGGAUGGAAAUGGAGACUCUGUCCACCCUUUGAAAGGUUCUCUGCUUACCAGACAUUUUUGUGAUUGUUAGGCACGCUUCAUAUUAAUGCUUUCAGCUCCCUUUCCUUGGCCUGUAUCUCCGAGUAGGGAAGGACAUUUUGUCUGAGCUUUCUCAUUUUUAUUUCUUAGCAGUAAGGACUGAAAGAAUGCAGUCAUGGGGUUCUUGAUGUCAAAUGAGAAACACUUCUGUAGUUACAUUUUAUUCUGUUAACAUGUCCAGUGUUCACCAGCCUUUGUCUUCUUUGUCUAGCAGCCUGGGAAGGUGAUGGAACCAAACUGGUGGUUGGGUUGGUAAGACAGGAGGGGUUAUUAACCUCUUUUCUCUCUUGGUUUGUUCUGCAGUGGCUGAGUACCAGCCUUCAUGCAUCAGCAGGUCUUAACUUCAGGACCAUUGUAGAACUUUAGGAUGAAGCAGUAUCUGGACCAUAUUAAUACUACAUCUAAUACUAUAUGAGAGAAAGUCUGCUGCACUUGUUUUCCAUGCUUUUCUGCAUCGCAGUCAUCAACUCACCCUGUGAAUGGCCUCUUUAAUAUUAGAGGUUUGACCACUGGUUAUUGAAGGCUGGAUAUGAAUUUUGACAGAAAUCACUUUCCAUUCAAAGCUUUUGUGCACAAACAAAAACAUCAUUUUUCUCCAAGAGACUCCAGUUUGUCUCCCUUACCCCAGACUCCACCCACCAUCUAAUGCCUCUCAUAAAUAUUUAAACACAAAAGUAUUUUAACUUCAUGCACAACUAGUUAGAGAAGGGCCUGUUGAUUUUGUUACCUGGUGACUGACCUUUUCACUGCAGUUUCCUGAAGUUGCUUAAAAGACCAGGGUUGUGCUUCCUGAGUUCAUUUUGAUAGUUGGUGUAAAUAAGAGGGUCUCUGGAGAUCAGUUAGGGUUGCUUCUUUCUAAUUUAGAGAGAGCAGAACAAAGGACCUAAAAAAGGCAACCAAUCUCAAACCCAAUUUGCCCCUCCAUUUCUGCUUUUAUUGGAAAGCAAGUGUACUUGCUGAAAGUUUGAGGGGAGUAGGGAUUCCUGUGAAGUGCCUGUGAUCCUGGAGAUAAUAGUGUUGAGUCUUUUUGAACAGGAGAUACUCAUGGUUGCGGACAGUGCUCAUUAUUUGCAAGAAUUUCUUUUCCCUUCCCUUUUUCCUGUUCUAUCAAGUCUUUUCUCAGUGCUGUUGUUUGUGCUGACUGGUUCUUACCAGCUUUCUCUCUCAUCUCUUUGGAGUUUACUUGUUUGGGGUAAUAAAGUUCUCUCUUAAAAUUUA
Molecule: long non-coding RNA, 2403 nt
Organism: Bubalus bubalis (water buffalo)
Lineage: Eukaryota; Metazoa; Chordata; Mammalia; Artiodactyla; Bovidae
Exons: 2
Source: RefSeq, a predicted model, not a curated record